GGAUGAGGAGGAUGAAGAAGAGGAUGAAGACGACGAAGAUGAGGAUAGCGAAGAUGACGACGACGUCAACGAUAGCAGUGACGGGGAGGAUGACAUGGGAACUGAAUACCUUGUUCAGCCAGUAGGCCGAGCUGAAGACGAGGAAGAUGCAAGUGAUUUUGAGCCUGACGAUGAAGACUCUGAAGAUGAGGACAUUUUAGAUGAAGAGGACUUUGAAAGCGGCUCGGCUGAGAAGGUUGAAGCUUCAAUGAAGAGGAAGAGGUCUAGUGAUGAUG
RNAcentral lists this unclassified non-coding RNA (275 nucleotides) under Hevea brasiliensis (rubber tree). The record is from RNAcentral. Lineage: Eukaryota; Viridiplantae; Streptophyta; Magnoliopsida; Malpighiales; Euphorbiaceae.